AUUGAACGCUGGCGGCAGGCCUAACACAUGCAAGUCGAACGAGUGGCGGACGGGUGAGUAAUGUCUGGGAAACUGCCUGAUGGAGGGGGAUAACUACUGGAAACGGUAGCUAAUACCGCAUACCAUCAGAUGUGCCCAGAUGGGAUUAGCUAGUAGGUGGGGUAACGGCUCACCUAGGCGACGAUCCCUAGCUGGUCUGAGAGGAUGACCAGCCACACGGGAACUGAGACACGGUCCAGACUCCUACGGGAGGCAGCAGUGGGGAAUAUUGCACAAUGGGCGCAAGCCUGAUGCAGACAUGCCGCGUGUAUGAAGAAGGCCUUCGGGUUGUAAAGCACUUUCAGCGGGGAGGCGUUACUCGCAGAAGAAGCACCGGCUAACUCCGUGCCAGCAGCCGCGGUAAUUC
This 406-nucleotide ribosomal RNA is filed under the name uncultured bacterium. Its description in RNAcentral is "partial 16S ribosomal RNA". It matches the Rfam family "Bacterial small subunit ribosomal RNA", at positions 30 to 526 of the family's 1533-position model. The record is from RNAcentral.